RNAcentral lists this ribosomal RNA (507 nucleotides) under uncultured bacterium. Its description in RNAcentral is "bacterial SSU rRNA". It matches the Rfam family "Bacterial small subunit ribosomal RNA", at positions 28 to 525 of the family's 1533-position model. The record is from RNAcentral.
GAUGAACGCUAGCGACAGGCCUAACACAUGCAAGUCGAGGGGCAGCACGGUGUAGCAAUACAUGGGUGGCGACCGGCGCACGGGUGAGUAACGCGUAUGCAACCUGCCUACUACAAGGGGAUAACCCGUUGAAAGACGGACUAAUACCCUAUAACACAGGGAAUCCGCAUGGAUAUAUUUGUUAAAGAUUUAUCGGUAGUAGAUGGGCAUGCGUUCCAUUAGCUUGUUGGUGAGGUAACGGCUCACCAAGGCAACGAUGGAUAGGGGAACUGAGAGGUUGAUCCCCCACACUGGAACUGAGACACGGUCCAGACUCCUACGGGAGGCAGCAGUGAGGAAUAUUGGUCAAUGGACGAGAGUCUGAACCAGCCAAGUCGCGUGAAGGAAGACGGCCCUACGGGUUGUAAACUUCUUUUGUAAGGGAAUAAAUAGUCUUACGAGCUAAGACGUUGCAGGUACCUUACGAAUAAGGAUCGGCUAACUCCGUGCCAGCAGCCGCGGUAAUCA